GAUGAACGCUGGCGGCGUGCUUAACACAUGCAAGUCGAACGAAGCAGAUUGAGAUCUUCGGAUGGAUAUCUGACUGAGUGGCGGACGGGUGAGUAACGCGUGGGUAACCUGCCUCAUACAGGGGGGAUAACAAUUGGAAACGACUGCUAAUACCGCAUAAUGUUAUUUGGGGGCAUCCCCGAGUAACCAAAGAUUUAUUUGCUGAAAGAUGGUCUCGCGUCUGAUUAGCUAGUUGGUGAGGUAACGGCUCACCAAGGCGACGAUCAGUAGCCGGUCUGAGAGGAUGAACGGCCACAUUGGGGACUGAGAUACGGCCCAGACUCCUACGGGAGGGCAGCAGUUGGGGGAAUAUUGGGCGAAUGGGGGGAAACCCGUGACCCAGCAACGCCGCGUGAAGGAAGAAGG
This 405-nucleotide ribosomal RNA is filed under the name uncultured bacterium. RNAcentral's name for it is "bacterial SSU rRNA". It matches the Rfam family "Bacterial small subunit ribosomal RNA", at positions 28 to 414 of the family's 1533-position model. The record is from RNAcentral.